RNAcentral lists this transfer RNA (74 nucleotides) under Sus scrofa (pig). It matches the Rfam family "tRNA". Rfam says of the family: Transfer RNA (tRNA) molecules are approximately 80 nucleotides in length. Their secondary structure includes four short double-helical elements and three loops (D, anti-codon, and T loops). Lineage: Eukaryota; Metazoa; Chordata; Mammalia; Artiodactyla; Suidae. The record is from Rfam by way of RNAcentral.
UCCCUGGUGGCCUAGUUGUUAAGGACUUAGCAUUGUCACUGGCUGUGGUGCAGGUUCAAUCCCUGUCCUGGGAA